RNAcentral lists this long non-coding RNA (308 nucleotides) under Mytilus galloprovincialis (Mediterranean mussel). The record is from RNAcentral. Lineage: Eukaryota; Metazoa; Mollusca; Bivalvia; Mytilida; Mytilidae.
GGUUGUGAUUUACAUGUACUAGUAAUAGCAUUUUUAUUUUGACUUUCUUUGCAUUUUAUUGAAGGGUGUGUCACUUCAAUAUAGCGUGAUAUGGAUUGGCCGCUGGAAUAUGCAUGAAUUUAUUAUUAACGUUUUCAAUCAGCCUCAAUUUUUGUGUCUGUUCAAAGUAGCACGUUCUCAAAUCCGACUGAAAAAGUGUCUUUCUAAUACAACACAGGGUACCGGUAAAAUAAAUAUAAACUGUACAUCUGUCCAGUGCAUAUAACGUGUUGUCAUUCUCAUAUGCAAAUGAUAUUUGUCACUGGACG